ACAGCGAGGAGCAUUGUGGUUUAAUUCGAUGAUACGCGAGGAACUACCUGGGCUCGAACGUAAGAUGACUGUAGGUGAAAGCUUACAUCUCUUCGGAGCAUUUUACGAGGUGCUGCAUGGUUGUCGUCAGCUCGUGCCGUGAGGUGUCGGGUUAAGUCCCAUAACGAGCGCAACCCCUACCUUUAGUUGCCAUCAGGUUAAGCUGGGGACUCUAAAGGAACUGCCUACGCAAGUAGUGAGGAAGGCGGGGAUGACGUCAAAUCAGCACGGCCCUUACGUCCAGGGCUACACACGUGCUACAAUGGCCGAUACAGAGGGCAGCUACCUGGUGACAGGAUGCAAAUCUCCAAAGUCGGUCUCAGUUCGGAUCGGAGUCUGCAACCCGACUCCGUGAAGUUGGAUUCGCUAGUAAUCGCGCAUCAGCCAUGGCGCGGUGAAUACGUUCCCGGGCCUU
Molecule: ribosomal RNA, 454 nt
Filed under: uncultured Sphingobacteriales bacterium
Lineage: Bacteria; Pseudomonadati; Bacteroidota; Sphingobacteriia; Sphingobacteriales
Description: bacterial SSU rRNA
Rfam family: Bacterial small subunit ribosomal RNA
Source: RNAcentral